GUAGGGAAUAUUGGGCAAUGGUCGGAAGACUGACCCAGCCAUGCCGCGUGCAGGAAGACGGCCCUCUGGGUUGUAAACUGCUUUUAUCUGGGAAGAAAAAGGCCAUGCGUGGCAAAUUGCCGGUACCAGAUGAAUAAGCACCGGCUAACUCCGUGCCAGCAGCCGCGGUAAUACGGCGGGUGCGAGCGUUGUCCGGAUUUAUUGGGUUUAAAGGGUGCGUAGGCGGCUGAUUAAGUCAGCGGUGAAAGACUUCGGCUUAACCGGAGCAGUGCGGUUGAUACUGGUUGGCUUGAGUGUCGGAGGGGUACAUGGAAUUGAUGGUGUAGCGGUGAAAUGCAUAGAUACCAUCAGGAACACCGAUAGCGAAGGCAUUGUACUGGCCGACAACUGACGCUGAUGCACGAAAGUGUGGGGAUCGAACAGGAUUAGAUACCCUUGUAGUCC
This 444-nucleotide ribosomal RNA is filed under the name uncultured bacterium. Its description in RNAcentral is "partial 16S ribosomal RNA". It matches the Rfam family "Bacterial small subunit ribosomal RNA", at positions 354 to 796 of the family's 1533-position model. The record is from RNAcentral.